RNAcentral lists this ribosomal RNA (253 nucleotides) under uncultured bacterium. RNAcentral's name for it is "partial 16S ribosomal RNA". It matches the Rfam family "Bacterial small subunit ribosomal RNA", at positions 524 to 776 of the family's 1533-position model. The record is from RNAcentral.
UACGAAGGUGGCAAGCGUUGUUCGGAUUUACUGGGCGUACAGGGAGCGUAGGCGGUUGGAUAAGCCCUCCGUGAAGUCUCCAGGCUUAACCUGGAAAGUGCAGAGGGGACUGUUCAGCUAGAGGAUGGGAGAGGAGCGCGGAAUUCCCGGUGUAGCGGUGAAAUGCGUAGAGAUCGGGAGGAAGGCCGGUGGCGAAGGCGGCGCUCUGGAACAUUUCUGACGCUGAGGCUCGAAAGCGUGGGGAGCAAACAGG